UACGGGAGGUGCAAGCGUUGUUCGGAGUGACUGGGCGUAAAGCGCACGUAGGUGGGCUUGUAAGUCGGAUGUGAAAUCCCCGGGCUUAACCUGGGAACUGCAUCCGAAACUAUAAGUCUUGAAUGCUUCAGAGGUUGGUAGAAUUCCUGGUGUAGGAGUGAAGUCCGUAGAUAUCAGGAGGAAUACCGGAGGCGAAGGCGGCCAACUGGGAGUGCAUUGACACUGAGGUGCGAAAGCGUGGGGAGCAAACAGG
RNAcentral lists this ribosomal RNA (253 nucleotides) under uncultured bacterium. RNAcentral's name for it is "partial 16S ribosomal RNA". It matches the Rfam family "Bacterial small subunit ribosomal RNA", at positions 524 to 776 of the family's 1533-position model. The record is from RNAcentral.